RNAcentral lists this ribosomal RNA (497 nucleotides) under uncultured bacterium. RNAcentral's name for it is "partial 16S ribosomal RNA". It matches the Rfam family "Bacterial small subunit ribosomal RNA", at positions 28 to 507 of the family's 1533-position model. The record is from RNAcentral.
GAUGAACGCUGGCGGCGUGCCUAAUACAUGCAAGUCGAGCGAACAGACUAGGAGCUUGCUCCUCUGACGUUAGCGGCGGACGGGUGAGUAACACGUGGAUAACCUACCUAUAAGACUGGGAUAACUUCUGGAAACCGGAGCUAAUACCGGAUAAUAUCUUUAACCGCAUGGUUCAAUAUUGAAAGACGGUUUUGCUUUCACUUAUAGAUGUAUCCGCUCCGCAUUAGCUAGUUGGUAAGGUAACGGCUUACCAAGGCGACGAUGCGUAGCCGACCUGAGAGGGGGAUCGGCAACACUGGAACUGAGAAACGGUCCAGACUCCUACGGGAGGAAGCAGUAGGGAAUCUUCCGCAAUGGGGGAAAGCCUGACGGAGCAACGCCGCGUGAGGGAGGAAGGUCUUCGGAUCGUAAAACUCUGUUAUUAGGGAAGAACAAAUGUGUAAGUAACUAUGCACGUCUUGACGGUACCUAAUCAGAAAGCCACGGCUAACUACGUG